AAGUCGUAACAAGGUUUCCGUAGGUGAACCUGCGGAAGGAUCAUCAACAAAUCUAUUAAAGAAGUUUAGUGGUUAUUCACCAUUAAACUUUUUAACCAAUGUGAAUAGGGGUUUACACCUCAAAGUUAUUUUAUUAUUACAUGUAAUAUAGUAGAAAUUAUUAUAUUUCUUUAAUAAUAAAAAUAAUAAACGAGUUUAAAUAGAGUCUGAUUUAAAAAUUAAACAAAAUUUUAUAAUAACUUUUAACAAUGGAUCUCUUGGCUCUU
Molecule: unclassified non-coding RNA, 266 nt
Filed under: fungal sp.
Lineage: Eukaryota; Fungi
Description: partial internal transcribed spacer region
Rfam family: Eukaryotic small subunit ribosomal RNA (bases 1-46)
Source: RNAcentral